Molecule: ribosomal RNA, 708 nt
Filed under: uncultured eukaryote
Lineage: Eukaryota
Description: SSU rRNA
Rfam family: Eukaryotic small subunit ribosomal RNA
Source: RNAcentral
UGUGAGAACUUUUUGGGACUGCCCUUCCAUGGUCUUUUCUUUUAGAGAGGACCAUAAUUACUUUGAGUAAAUGAGAGUGUUCAAAGCAGGCAAGCGCUUGAAUCUUUUAGCAUGGAAUAAUAAAAUAGGACGAUGAUUCUAUUUUGUUGGUUUCUAGGACCAUCGUAAUGAUUAAUAGGGACGGUCGGGGGCAUUAGAAUUCAGUUGUAAGAGGUGAAAUUCUUAGAUUUUCUGAAGACUAACUACUGCGAAAGCAUUUGUCAAGGACGUUUUCAUUAAUCAAGAACGAAAGUUAGGGGAUCGAAGAUGAUCAGAUACCGUCGUAGUCUUAACCAUAAACUAUGCCGACUAGGGAUUGGGCGACGCCUCAUGAAUAUGACGCGCCCAGCACCUUACGAGAAAUCAAAGUUUUUGGGUUCUGGGGGGAGUAUGGUCGCAAGGCUGAAACUUAAAGGAAUUGACGGAAGGGCACCACCAGGAGUGGAGCCUGCGGCUUAAUUUGACUCAACACGGGGAAACUCACCAGGUCCAGACACAAUAAGGAUUGACAGAUUGAGAGCUCUUUCUUGAUUUUGUGGGUGGUGGUGCAUGGCCGUUCUUAGUUGGUGGAGUGAUUUGUCUGCUUAAUUGCGAUAACGAACGAGACCUUAGCUUUUAUUUGCGCAGCCUAACAAUUCUGUUGGGUUUGUGCCAUAAAAGGACUAUCGA